GUUGUUCGGAAUUACUGGGCGUAAAGGGCUCGUAGGCGGCCAACUAAGUCAGACGUGAAAUCCCCAGGCUCAACCUGGGAACUGCGUCUGAUACUGGAUGGCUUGAAUCCGGGAGAGGGAUGCGGAAUUCCAGGUGUAGCGGUGAAAUGCGUAGAUAUCUGGAGGAACACCGGUGGCGAAGGCGGCAUCCUGGACCGGCAUUGACGCUGAGGAGCGAAAGCCAGGGGAGCAAACGGG
This 237-nucleotide ribosomal RNA is filed under the name uncultured bacterium. RNAcentral describes it as "partial 16S ribosomal RNA". It matches the Rfam family "Bacterial small subunit ribosomal RNA", at positions 540 to 776 of the family's 1533-position model. The record is from RNAcentral.